RNAcentral lists this ribosomal RNA (549 nucleotides) under Brettanomyces bruxellensis. Its description in RNAcentral is "partial large subunit ribosomal RNA". It matches the Rfam family "Eukaryotic large subunit ribosomal RNA", at positions 83 to 664 of the family's 3401-position model. The record is from RNAcentral. Lineage: Eukaryota; Fungi; Ascomycota; Pichiomycetes; Pichiales; Pichiaceae.
GUAUGGCGAUGANCGGGAGCCCAAAUGAAAUCGGGCAACCGAGUUGUAAUUUGGAGACGGGACACUAGAGGCGAUUAAGUGCCUUGGAACAGGCUGCCGUAGAGGGUGAGAGCCCCGUGAAUCGCUGGAGACCGAUCAAUUAGUGCCCGCCGAAGAGUCGAGUUGUUUGGGAAUGCAGCUCUAAGUGGGUGGUAUAUUCCAUCUAAGGCUAAAUAUUAGCGAGAGACCGAUAGCAAACAAGUACAGUGAUGGAAAGAUGAAAAGAACUUUGGAAAGAGAGUGAAAUAGUACGUGAAAUUGUUGAAAGGGAAGGGUAUUUGAUCCGACAUGGUGUUUAGCAGCGGCCCGUUCCUCGUGGAUGGGUGCACCUGGUUUACACUGGGCCAGCAUCGGUUCUGGGAGCCAUAUACGGGGUUCGUGAAUGUGGCCCUUCGAUUCUGUCGGAGGGUGUUAUAGCGCGGACAUCUUGUGGCUAGCCGGGACCGGGGCGGUGACUUGUCACCAAGGAUGCUGGCAGAACGAGCAAAUACCACCCGUCUUGAAACACGG